UUAAGGUGAAACCGCGAAAGGCUCAUUAAAUCAGUUAUGGUUCCUUAGAUCGUACCCACAAUUACUUGGAUAACUGUGGUAAUUCUAGAGCUAAUACAUGCAAACAGAGCUCCGACCGGAGACGGAAGGAGUGCUUUUAUUAGAUCAAAACCAAUCGGUGGCGGGUUCGCCCGUUAUCGUACAACUUGGUGACUCUGAAUAACUUUACGCUGAUCGCACGGUCAUCGCACCGGCGACGCGUCUUUCAAAUGUCUGCCUUAUCAACUGUCGAUGGUAGGUUCUGCGCCUACCAUGGUUGUAACGGGUAACGGGGAAUCAGGGUUCGAUUCCGGAGAGGGAGCCUGAGAAACGGCUACCACAUCCAAGGAAGGCAGCAGGCGCGCAAAUUACCCACUCCCGGCACGGGGAGGUAGUGACGAAAAAUAACGAUACGGGACUCAUCCGAGGCCCCGUAAUCGGAAUGAGUACACUCUAAACCCUUUAACGAGGAUCAAUUGGAGGGCAAGUCUGGUGCC
This 515-nucleotide ribosomal RNA is filed under the name Trigonopterus sp. 622 MB-2015. RNAcentral's name for it is "SSU rRNA". It matches the Rfam family "Eukaryotic small subunit ribosomal RNA", at positions 76 to 568 of the family's 1831-position model. The record is from RNAcentral. Lineage: Eukaryota; Metazoa; Arthropoda; Insecta; Coleoptera; Curculionidae. RNAcentral also lists the same sequence under 2 other names.